AGGGUGGGAGUUCAUAGAGCCCACCUUCCAAAUUUCCAACAAUAACAACCACCCAUAUGAAUAUCCAAGCUUAAAGGUGUUAAACAACCUCUAUAAACCAAGUUUAGAGUGUUGGAUCAUUACCUACUUUGGUUUGAUGUUCAAGCAGAAUUUUGGCCCCCCUUUACUCCAGCAAAACCGUGAUUUUCAGCUCCCCUUUGCAGCUCAAAUGAUCCUUAAGUGUUAAGCCACGUGUGGUUUAAGUUGGGUGUGAAUUGGAUGAAGAUUUGUGUAAGAUUUGGAGAUGGAAUUUGCAAAACU
RNAcentral lists this long non-coding RNA (300 nucleotides) under Coffea arabica (coffee). RNAcentral's name for it is "long non-coding RNA (CARA_LNC005069)". The record is from RNAcentral. Lineage: Eukaryota; Viridiplantae; Streptophyta; Magnoliopsida; Gentianales; Rubiaceae.